CCCUUCACCCACCCUUCUGCCUGCUCACGGUACUAUUAAGUUGUCAAUCACACAUUACUGUAGUAUGGAUUCAAUAUCUCAGUAUCAGCAGGAGCAGAUCAAUGAGCACCUGCAGAGAGGAAAUGUGUAUGAAACACCGGAGGAUGUGACCCCCCCCCCCGCCCACCCCAGUGUGUCAACAGGUCUGUGAGCCAAUGCAAACCAUCCACCCCACUCAAGAGCAUUUAUUGCAUCCAAGUGGGACAAAGUAGGACGAGAUUAUUCAGACCGCAAUGCAAAUAAGUGAGUUCCCCCCGGCGGCUGAGUGCAGGAUGGGACUAACAAUGGAAAAGGGCUCCGGCAGGCUGAGCCUAAUCUCUGCAUGUCGAGAGGAGCCGUGACAUGUCAGAUCCUGCAACGUCUAUUUUCUCACAGCAACACCUCGGUUCUCUCAGGGACAAGCAGGCACAGGCACACGGGCCCGCGGUACUCCACCGCUAAUAACAGAAGCUGGAAUCAAGCCAUGGGAAAAAGAAAUCGGUAACACUGUUUUCCAGCCAGCCAUGAAGUAAUCACUCCAAUUCUCGUAAAUGGCCUUUCUGGUCUUGUCUGCUCUAUUGGCUGCAGCACAAUAGGGAUUUACUUUGCAGAAUAGUGCUGUGUGAUUGUGAUCAGAGGAAUUCGCUUGGAAAAUCUAAAACCAUUUGAAAACCUCUUCUCAGAACAAUGUGCAAAUAUAUUGCAUCAAAUAUAAAAUGACAAAAAGAGAAAAAGUUAAAUUAUAUCAAAUGUAUCAAAUGUUCCAAAGGUCCUGAAGAUUAGAAGCCAGUAUUUAUGGACACAAGUUCCACUGAAAAUGUGAUCAAAUGAACGCUUCCAUUCACACUGGAUUACUGAGCAACACGUUUUAAAUGAACAUGUAAGAAAAUCUGCCGAUAUCUUAUUAAAUUCCCGCUGGGUUCCGUCACAGAGUCGUUCCACUACUCACCGUUUGUCUCAGGGUGACGUCGUUGUCGGGCUCUCGUGUGAUUUCCCGUCAUGUAUCAGGUUCCAUGUAGACAAAAGGUAAUUUCUGUCUCAUCACAGUGCAUUUUUUCAUUAUUUGCAGUAAAUUGCAAUCUAAAAAGUUCAAAGACAACAUCAUAGACAAACUCUCACAACAGAUAACAUCAUGGUAGCAAGCUGUCACUCACAGCAAGCCCCGCCCUGAAGCAUCCCCCGCUUUAUGGUCUGUUCGAGUCUAAUUGGACCAUAAUUUACAAGAUAAACAUCAUUGGGUAUUGAUUUGAAACUAGAGGUUGACAUUUACAACAUUUACUGAGGGAAUGAAUCAAGAGAGAAGUCAUUUUUUCUUCUAUGGGACCAGAGGAGUCGCCCCCUACUGGUCACCACAGAGAAUGCAGCUUCAAGUCAGGAAGUCAAAAUUUUCAACGUCUAUUAAAAAGUCUGUAAGCGUACUUUGACUUCCUGCCACAAAUCUUGGCAUGAGAUUAAGUAACUGAAAGAGUGUGUUAUGCAACGCUGCAUAACUGGCGCUGAGUGUGACUCACCGCCGUGAUAAACUCCAUAGUUGGUCUUAAAGUAGCGAUGCCUUGUUUGUUUGCCCCGGGGACACUUAUCACCAGUCAGUUCCCAGGUGUCUGGGUGUUGUGCAUUCUUCUUUACGAUGAUGCUUAUGCGUCUGUAGGUCUGCUGGAUUCUCAGAAUUAAGAUUUCGGUUUUAAUAUGGAUUCUCAGAACCCGACACGGUCUUUCUCAGAAUUAGACCUCCCCACUCGGGACACCUGGUAGCCAAGGUACACAUCCAGGAAACACCUCCUUACCAAACAUUAGUUGUUUGUUUAAAAGCUUUGACGGACCACGUGGAUCUUUUUUUAUUCAAAUAAAGUGUGCAGGGAGGAAGGAGGACAACGUACACAAAGCAUUUCCCCACAAAUGCUUGCAACUGCAUUCGUUGAAUUAUGCCCACAAUUAGACAUGUACCUUUGGUGAUGCAGACAAAGGGAUUGAACACAACAACCUUCAUAGAUCUGGUGAGAUUCUUAUGGGCAGCAGAACGUGAAACAAACAACAAAAGACCCUUUGAUACGUUAGUUAUCGCAUCCCGAAAUCAUGCGUGUCUCUGGCUCUGUCAUCCCUUCAGAGAAUUAUUGUUAAACACAGUAUUAUUUAUUAUUAAUUAUUAUACUACCUAAUGUUGUUUUUUUUAACGCCGAACCCUUUGUGUUGGAUGAAUUUAAUUUAUCAAAUGGUUCAUGAUGAGGUCUAUUUUCAAAGUUCUAAUACUUUAAAUAAGUUUUUAACAAAGUUCCCCAAUUAAAAGAAAAAAAACAUUUUCCACAAAUAACACGAGGGGCACAUUUCUUCCUGUUGUUGUUAAUGGAUGGACAUUUGUGUGUGUGUGUGUGUGUGUUACCAGUGCAUGUGUGCAUCCAAUCCGUAAUUGGUCCAUGCUGGCAGAGGCACCUGUAAGAGAUCCAUCUCCUCCGCAGCCGGACGGGCCAAGCGCCUCAGCAUCUCCCAGAUGGACCUCACAGCGAGCGGGCUGCCCGUGCAAACCUCCCCCCCCCCGCCUCUCACCAGCGGAUGGUGCCUCACAGGCGGAACGUCGUUCCACAUUAAUCCCAAUAAAGGGGCCUUACCCAGCGACGACCAGGCAGGGACGUUUCUCCGCUGUUUGGUUUGUGGACGGAGGAAUCAGCCUCUCGUGCCAACAAUGCCUUCUUCUUCUCCUUAUAGAGCGGAGGGUUGGACAUUUAGUGUCUGCCUGGAGAGGAAAAUGACAGUUUAACUACAGAAAAACUGGAUUUAAAACGUUGUAAUAUUUUUGAGAUCAACUUGGCAGCUUUCUUUAUCAUCAGCGUUUGUCAUCAGUUACUUGCUGCGGUUCCCUCUCAUUCACUCCAGACAUCUCCUAAUCUUGUGAGAUAGUAAUCUUUACUCCUAACGCACUCCAAAAGAUUAAUUGAGUAAUGAAUUAUGUGAUUUCUGAUCAGGAUCUGAAUGGAACACAAACAAAAAAACGGCACGUCCGGUUGCAUCAUUUUGAAUAUAAAUUUUCUGAGAAAUGGUCCCAGAAAUAACGGGUGUUUGAGAAAUGUCUCAAUGACUAAAUGGACUAUUUGGACAUACGGUUGGAGGGAGCAAGGAGCCGAGAGGACAUACGGUUGGAGGGAACAAGGAGCCGAGAGGACAUAACGGUGGAGGCAACAAGGGGCCGAGAGGACAUACGGUUGGAGGGAACAAGGGGCCGAGAGGACAUAACGGUGGAGGGAACAAGGGGCCGAGAGGACAUACGGUUGGAGGGAACAAGGGGCCGAGAGGACAUAAGGGUGGAGGGAACAAGGGGCCAAGAGGACAUACGGUUGGAGGGAACAAGGGGCCGAGAGGACAUACGGGUGGAGGGAACAAGGGGCCGAGAGGACAUACGGGUGGAGGGAACAAGGGGCCCGAGAGGACAUAAGGGUGGAGGGAACAAGGGGCCGAGAGGAAAAAAGCUGUUAGGCCUAAAUGUGAUUCUUGUUUUUUCCUUGAGGUGUGUCAAACAUCACAAUAAAAUGUUAAUUGUUGGCCGACGGCAAACUUAAUUAAUAACCCCACAAAUUCUUCAACACAAGGAUUUGACGGGUUUCAACAGCCCAGAACCUGGAGGAGAGACAGAGACUUUGUCCUUCUGCAAAAUGCCAUGAGUCAGCGUGCAGAGCUUCGCCCUCACAGCGCGCUAUGAGAACAUAACAGGACACACAAUGAAGACGUGGGCAACCAAUUAAAGGUACAUGUUGCAGACAGAAUGAAUGAGCAGCCUCCUGUUACGCAAGGCAGCCCUGCAAAACAUGCAGCAACUGCCAGUGUAAGACCCCAGCGGUGUGUGUGUGUGUGUGUGUGUGUGUGUGUGUGUGUGUGUGUGUCUUACGGCUUCAGCAUGAUCGAAUUAGCCAGAAGAGAACACAACAGCAGAAAAUCAAAGUAAGAUGGGGAAAAAGAAGCACGUGGAAUAAACAGACCAAAAGAAGCUCUGACUUGUGCGUGACGAUAGAAUGGAAAACGGACUAAAAAGGAACAGAGAAAAAGAGGGUUAUGCAACUUUGUCCUUGAGAAGCUGGGCCAAAACUUGACUCGGCAUUCCUCGCUACUACGACCGCAGAGAGUCUUCUCAUGCAACGGAUUAAGCGGCGCUCAAGCAGGAGAGCAGGCGAUGCAUCCCGCUACCUGCAGUGAAGCGCCUCGCUGCACCUUGUGUAUACAGCCUGCAGACUGCGAGUAGCGGCGACCUCUUUAUGUCACUUCGGGCGUCUGGGCUUGUAUUUGUCGCCUUCUUUGUCAGAUUUCUUGGAAAUCUGACUUGGAAAGUCAGACGUCUCGCUCUGCGUUUCCAGGAAGACGCACGCUGAGGAGUCUGGUCUUGAGAUGAACAAUUCAGUUGCACAACCUCCGAACUCUUUUCAAAAUCAGCAAAAAUUGUUUUUCCUUUUAAGGUUUUUGUAUAAUUCAGCUUUGGCUCAUUUCAAGAGAAUAGUCAGCGCUGUGCUGCAUCUUUGUGCGGCGCGAGAGAACUUGAUUAAAUGGACUUCCUGUAAGGGGAAGUCUGCUUUUUGUACAGACUCAAACAUCUGAUGACGCAAACAAGAUCAAACUCUUUUGGUGAGGCCGACUUUCUCAAAAAAGGGAACAUUAACCAUUUAUAAGGAAAUCACACUUUUUUUUGUUUUGUUAGUCAUACAUACCAGUAUAAAUGGAAUUGUCCAUUUUUAAACUAAGAUUACAACCUCAUGGUUGUAUGUCCAUCCAGUCACAGUGCAGCAAACAUCCACGCCUCAAAUAUCUGACCUUAAACUUUGACCUUUUUGAGUCGAUGUUUUUUUUUAAAUGCUUUUAAAAAAGGACAGUGAUGGUCUGUGAUGCGAGUGACUAACUGGAGGGCCGGGAUGUUCUCGUAUGCACCGACAUGGAGGGAAAGACCUUCCAUCAGACACUACAUUGGCCUCAAUCGGCUUUCCCCGCAAAUCUGCCGCGCGAUCACGGCACGUUCCGGGGGGCCCGAAUGAAGCUUCGCCCGGUCUGUUUAGCGUUGUGAGUGUUGAACGCUCUGCAGAAGUAACGGCGUGUUUUUCAUGUGUGUGUCUUCUGAGACGUAAAUGUCAAGUGGAUGAGGUGGAUCUAUACGGCAGGUGUGAGAACAGCUUGAGGCGCGUGUCAUUAGCCCGCCACCGGUGUCACUCCGUCCUGCGCCGGCCCGACCUGGCACCAUCCGUGCGCCAUCCAUGCACCACAUGCCACACACACACACACACACACUCCUCUAUUUCAAGUGUGUGUAUUUGCUGCGAAAUUGUUUAAUGCGGCCCGAGCGCUGGCCUCCGCUCGCGACUGUUGAACUGAUUAAGGAGGAACCCCGAGCGGACUCCAUCGGGAGCUGGCUCCACUUGGUUUUCAUCUGACAUUUACUCAAGCUGCCCGCGAUGACAUCAGGCACUCGGAGUCAUUUCGGAGUAUCGUCCUGCUCGUUAACCCGUAGAUUGUCUGCGAGGUCUCUGCUUUCACUCCACUUCGCCGCCGGCGUCGUGAAGGCUGAACAAACACAAAAUAAUGCUUCGUCCUGCACAUUGAAGGCAUUGUGAAAGGCGCAAGAAGAGGUGUUGAAGUGCGUCGUCUCCAGCAUCCGCCGCUCGUGAACACGCAAGAGUCAACGUGAGCGGCUUCGGCACUGGCAUCACACUGCAUUGUGGGUAACGCUGCGUGACACGACCACGGGAGGCAGAAAAACGGAACGUCCCACCCGUGGACGCGUGCCUUUUGGGGUGAUUUAACAAGGUAAACGUUACUCGAUGCUAAUUAACAACUAUUGAUGCUGAUUAAUGUGCAUUAAAAGGGCCGUAAAUGUUUAAUUAGCGUUGCUCGCAGCAAACGGAAACCCCCUCGGUGGUUUUACCUUGGACUAAUUUAUGUGCCUUCAUUAGGGAAGUGAAAAGACGUGGGUGGGCUCGAUAGCUUGGCACCGCCUUGAAUUUAUCUGCAUGUAUUUUAGUGAAAAAUGAGAUUUAUGCUUUAACUUUGAACAACUAAAACGUUGCUCACUAGGCGUCAAAGACCAGCCGGCUUCACCUCAUUUUUGCUUAGAAGGCAAAAACUUCUGCUCGUCCGUCCGUCCGUUAUCUUUGGCCGCUUAUCGUGUUCAGGGUUGCGCAAUAGGUCAAAGUAGAGGUCACACUUGUGGAGUGUGGGGGGGGGGGGGGGGGGGAGCCGGAGAACCCGGAGAGAACGUGUAAGCGGUUCUGGCCACCACAUCGACCCUUGACCCCCCCCCCCGACUCAGAGGUUUGACUUCAUUCAGAUGAAAUAUUCAUGUUCAUGAUGACGUCGACUGUAAAAGGGUCUAUAAAAACCAAACGGGCCGUCAAAGGUUUAGUGACACGAAGCGUAUCGCACAGAACCACACACACGCACACGCACACACACACACACACGAUCCCCAGAGCCUAAGAUAGAGUCCAUUACUUUGGAAUGCCACACCGCUUCGCCCCCAAACACGAGAUUGAACUCGGACCUGGCCGGCCGGGCCCGAACCGGCGUGAGUCACACGCCAACCGGCAUGAUUGCCUGGUUACCCGCGCGGCUGCAGCGACUGCAUGUCGAAGGGCAGAGUGACUCACAGACGCACAAGAUUACCCCCACAUUAAAAACCCACAGCUUGUGUAAAUACGGCUCUGUUGUUCCCGCUGAGCUCUCUCAUUCACGGUUGCCGUGGCGUGAUUCAUGCACACAUGUGACCGGGCGGGCACCGCGGCGCUGGAGCUGCAGAGCUUGUGCCUCGGUGUGGGGGGCCGGGGGGG
Gasterosteus aculeatus aculeatus (three-spined stickleback) is the source of this 6809-nucleotide long non-coding RNA. The record is from Ensembl. Lineage: Eukaryota; Metazoa; Chordata; Actinopteri; Perciformes; Gasterosteidae.